Molecule: ribosomal RNA, 429 nt
Filed under: Bacteroidota bacterium
Lineage: Bacteria; Pseudomonadati; Bacteroidota
Description: Bacteroidetes bacterium partial 16S ribosomal RNA
Rfam family: Bacterial small subunit ribosomal RNA
Source: RNAcentral
UAGGGAAUCUUCCGCAAUGGACGCAAGUCUGACGGAGCAACGCCGCGUGAGUGAUGAAGGUCUUCGGAUCGUAAAACUCUGUUAUUAGGGAAGAAUAAAUGUGUAAGUAACUAUGCACGUCUUGACGGUACCUAAUCAGAAAGCCACGGCUAACUACGUGCCAGCAGCCGCGGUAAUACGUAGGUGGCAAGCGUUGUCCGGAUUUAUUGGGCGUAAAGCGAGCGCAGGCGGUCAAUUAAGUCUGAUGUGAAAGCCCCCGGCUCAACCGGGGAGGGUCAUUGGAAACUGGUUGACUUGAGUGCAGAAGAGGAGAGUGGAAUUCCAUGUGUAGCGGUGAAAUGCGUAGAUAUAUGGAGGAACACCAGUGGCGAAGGCGACUCUCUGGUCUGUAACUGACGCUGAGGCUCGAAAGCGUGGGUAGCAAACAGG